AUUGAACGCUGGCGGCAUGCCGUACACAUGCAAGUCGAACGGUAACGGGCCUUCGGGUGCCGACGAGUGGCGAACGGGUGAGUAAUACAUCGGAACGUGCCCGAUCGUGGGGGAUAACGAGGCGAAAGCUUUGCUAAUACCGCAUACGAUCUACGGAUGAAAGCAGGGGACCGCAAGGCCUUGCGCGGACGGAGCGGCCGAUGGCAGAUUAGGUAGUUGGUGGGAUAAAAGCUUACCAAGCCGACGAUCUGUAGCUGGUCUGAGAGGAUGAUCAGCCACACUGGGACUGAGACACGGCCCAGACUCCUACGGGAGGCAGCAGUGGGGAAUUUUGGACAAUGGGCGCAAGCCUGAUCCAGCCAUGCCGCGUGCAGGAUGAAGGCCUUCGGGUUGUAAACUGCUUUUGAACGGAACGAAAAGCCUUCUUUUAAUACAGGAGGGUCAUGACGGUACCGUAAGAAUAAGCACCGGCUAACUACGUG
Molecule: ribosomal RNA, 482 nt
Filed under: uncultured bacterium
Lineage: Bacteria
Description: partial 16S ribosomal RNA
Rfam family: Bacterial small subunit ribosomal RNA
Source: RNAcentral